This 216-nucleotide ribosomal RNA is filed under the name uncultured bacterium. Its description in RNAcentral is "partial 16S ribosomal RNA". It matches the Rfam family "Bacterial small subunit ribosomal RNA", at positions 118 to 351 of the family's 1533-position model. The record is from RNAcentral.
UGGGAACCUGCCUUUAGGUCCGGAAUAACUCCUCGAAAGGGGCGCUAAUACCGGAUAAUGUCUUCGGACCAAAGAUUUAUUGCCUUUAGAUGGGCCCGCGUUGGAUUAGCUUGUUGGUGGGGUAAAGGCCUACCAAGGCGACGAUCCAUAGCUGGUCUUAGAGGAUGAUCAGCCACACUGGGACUGAGACACGGCCCAGACUCCUACGGGAGGCAG